RNAcentral lists this ribosomal RNA (1370 nucleotides) under Microbacterium sp. HP3P1. RNAcentral describes it as "bacterial SSU rRNA". It matches the Rfam family "Bacterial small subunit ribosomal RNA". The record is from RNAcentral. Lineage: Bacteria; Bacillati; Actinomycetota; Actinomycetes; Micrococcales; Microbacteriaceae.
UCGAACGGUGAAGCAGAGCUUGCUCUGUGGAUCAGUGGCGAACGGGUGAGUAACACGUGAGCAACCUGCCCCUGACUCUGGGAUAAGCGCUGGAAACGGCGUCUAAUACUGGAUAUGAGCUGCGACCGCAUGGUCAGCAGUUGGAAAGAUUUUUCGGUCUGGGAUGGGCUCACGGCCUAUCAGCUUGUUGGUGAGGUAAUGGCUCACCAAGGCGUCGACGGGUAGCCGGCCUGAGAGGGUGACCGGCCACACUGGGACUGAGACACGGCCCAGACUCCUACGGGAGGCAGCAGUGGGGAAUAUUGCACAAUGGGCGAAAGCCUGAUGCAGCAACGCCGCGUGAGGGAUGACGGCCUUCGGGUUGUAAACCUCUUUUAGCAGGGAAGAAGCGAAAGUGACGGUACCUGCAGAAAAAGCGCCGGCUAACUACGUGCCAGCAGCCGCGGUAAUACGUAGGGCGCAAGCGUUAUCCGGAAUUAUUGGGCGUAAAGAGCUCGUAGGCGGUUUGUCGCGUCUGCUGUGAAAUCCCGAGGCUCAACCUCGGGUCUGCAGUGGGUACGGGCAGACUAGAGUGCGGUAGGGGAGAUUGGAAUUCCUGGUGUAGCGGUGGAAUGCGCAGAUAUCAGGAGGAACACCGAUGGCGAAGGCAGAUCUCUGGGCCGUUACUGACGCUGAGGAGCGAAAGGGUGGGGAGCAAACAGGCUUAGAUACCCUGGUAGUCCACCCCGUAAACGUUGGGAACUAGUUGUGGGGUCCAUUCCACGGAUUCCGUGACGCAGCUAACGCAUUAAGUUCCCCGCCUGGGGAGUACGGCCGCAAGGCUAAAACUCAAAGGAAUUGACGGGGACCCGCACAAGCGGCGGAGCAUGCGGAUUAAUUCGAUGCAACGCGAAGAACCUUACCAAGGCUUGACAUAUACGAGAACGGGCCAGAAAUGGUCAACUCUUUGGACACUCGUAAACAGGUGGUGCAUGGUUGUCGUCAGCUCGUGUCGUGAGAUGUUGGGUUAAGUCCCGCAACGAGCGCAACCCUCGUUCUAUGUUGCCAGCACGUAAUGGUGGGAACUCAUGGGAUACUGCCGGGGUCAACUCGGAGGAAGGUGGGGAUGACGUCAAAUCAUCAUGCCCCUUAUGUCUUGGGCUUCACGCAUGCUACAAUGGCCGGUACAAAGGGCUGCAAUACCGUGAGGUGGAGCGAAUCCCAAAAAGCCGGUCCCAGUUCGGAUUGAGGUCUGCAACUCGACCUCAUGAAGUCGGAGUCGCUAGUAAUCGCAGAUCAGCAACGCUGCGGUGAAUACGUUCCCGGGUCUUGUACACACCGCCCGUCAAGUCAUGAAAGUCGGUAACACCUGAAGCCGGUGGCCCAACCCU